AAGUAACUUUCUUUUCUUCUUUUCACCAACUUAUCUUGCCCCCCCCCACUUCCUCACUUCCCCACUUACCUGCCCAAAACCUACUCCUUCUUCCAUAGCUUUCUCCACCCCCAUAUAAAGAGCUCAACGGGCUUUUGAAGAUCCGACCUUUGUUGGCCUUGGCCAGGAACUUUCUCUUAAGCAAUUAUUUCAUAACCUUUGAAAACUGGUCGAAUGGGAAACCCCAACCUUCCAACUUUUCUACACACUUCGUUCAUGGUUACAAGACCCCUCCCUAUUUAGAGUAUUGAUAGAAAAUUCAUCGCCAUACCUGAUAUCCUGUACUUGUAAUACAUUCUGUGGGAAGGAACUGAUGACCUCAAACCAUCAGACUCUGCCUCAAGUGCUCAGAGAAACAAGAGCUUCCCUCCUUUGCUGAUAUACAUUAAAUUAUUGGUAAAAGAAAAAAAAACCAGAAGUAUUGGAUUGUUUUCUUAAAACAAAACAAAACAAAAACCCAAAAAACACAAAAAAACAACAAAAACAACGGGGUGAACACCAUUUCUUCUUUAAUGCCAAAACCGUUUCUCCUUUUGAGUUGGCCUUUAAUUCAGUACCAUUUGUUUUGACCACCCAGUCAAGAGGUAACAACUGCCUCUUCUCGAGGGCACUCUGGAGGGUAUCUGUGUUAAGUUUGUAUAUAUUUAUUUAUGCUUAAUUUAAUGGGAAUGUGUAAAUAUGAUGAGCAAGUAGUUUGGGAUUAUUUAUCUGUGACUCUAUACCUCUGUGAAUGGGUGGUUUAAAAGAAAAAAAGAACCGCUUGACCCUAGCUAGAAUCCUAUUUGAAUUCUUCUGUUCUUUAUAGACAAGCUGUUAUGGUAUUGGGUAGAAAUUGGUUUAUUGUCCAGUGUUAAUCUGAUUUACAUAAAUAAAAAAGAUUGUUGUGUUUUUGUUGUGUUCUCCUCUUCAGUUCCUUAAACAUAAAGAUUGUUCCAUUCUACAGACAGAAACAAAGAUAUAGCAAAAAAGAUUUCUUCCUUUUGCACCCCCGCCACAGACGUACAUACAGUGUUUUUGUUACAACAGAAAUAUAAUAAAUUUUGCAUAUC
Molecule: long non-coding RNA, 1088 nt
Filed under: Mus musculus (house mouse)
Lineage: Eukaryota; Metazoa; Chordata; Mammalia; Rodentia; Muridae
Description: long non-coding RNA chr1:19237646-19238734
Source: RNAcentral